UCGGGCGGCUGGUCAGCCGGCUGCGGUGAUCCGAUGCCUUGACGGCGCCGGCCAGUUUAAUCGCAUCCAGGUAGCCGGGUUCGAACCGCCGGCCGCCCGGGC
RNAcentral lists this transfer RNA (102 nucleotides) under Mycobacterium paragordonae. RNAcentral's name for it is "tRNA-Ser". The record is from RNAcentral. Lineage: Bacteria; Bacillati; Actinomycetota; Actinomycetes; Mycobacteriales; Mycobacteriaceae.